UGCUCUUCAUGUUCGUUGGAUCGGGCUGCAUUGCUUGUUGUCCGUGUCAUUUCGUGAUUUGUUCUAACAGAUGAAAGGAAUAAAGUGUGCUUUAGUAGUAGUUGUAGUAGCAGCAGCAGCAGCGCUUUAGUAGUAGUAGUAGCAGCAGUGCUUUAGUAGUAGUAGUAGGUUGAAGAGAGGAGAAGAGAGACCAGCAGUGCUUUAGUAGUAGUAGUAGUAGUAGUAGGUUGAAGAGAGGAGAAGAGAGAGUAGCAGUGCUUUAGUAGUAGCAGCAGUGCUUUAGUAGUAGUAGUAGUAAAAGAAGAAGAAACUCAUGUGCUCUCAAAUUAGCGGGUUGCUGCUUUAUAGAGCUAUCCGCUGCUCUGUGGUGAUCAUAGAUCAUAGACUUAUAUGACAGUCACUAAUAGGUUAAGAGAAAACCCAUUUGCACUACAAGACCGAAACCUCAGGGGGAGGCUAGUAUCCAAUGGCACUCCAUUCGAGACGAGUUUCCCCCCGAAGCUUUCGGUCUAGGAGAAGCUAUGGGUAUUUGACUGUCAUGUUGUCUCACUACACCUUUUGUAUCAUCGAGCAAGAAAUUUUGAAAAAAAAAAGUAGUACAAGUAGUAAAGGCCUCAGUACCAUGUCAAUCAUCAUUUGAUCAUAAACUUGGAGCAUAAAGGCAUCGUAAUAGAGAAGAUGAGGUCAUAUAGGGGCCGCUGGUAACGAUGCCAAGUUCCUCACAAGUUCUUGAUCAUCAGCUCAUAUUCCAUAUAAUGAAUGGACUUAGACAAUCUCAUCAUCGGCAAAACAAAGGAGAGAAGAAAAAUAGAAGAGGAGAGUAGUAGUAGUAUAGAGGAGCACAGUUUAUAAAACUGUCAUAGAGAGGGUAGUAGUAGAGUUGGGCACAACAGCAGUAGUAGUAGGAUUACAGUAAGCCCCAACAGUAGUGUAGUACUAGUAGAGUACUAGAGUAGAGCAGCAGCUAGCACUAGUAGUAGACUAGUGCAGUAGUGUUGGAGAGAGGACGAGAGUAGAAAAUAGAAGAGAGAUAGAAGGAGCAGAGAGGAAGGAGAGGUGAGGAGAGGGAAAGGUUUAAAAAAGGCCUCAGAAACAUGUCUAGCAUCAUUUGAUUAAGAACUUGGAGCAACAAGGCAUCAAAACAGAGAACAAGGCACUAUAGAGGCAGCUAGUAAUGAUGCCAAGUUACUCAUAAGUUUUGGAUCAUCAGCUCAUAUUCUAAAAUAAUGUAUUGAAUUAGACAAUUUCAUCAUCGGCAAAACAAUAGUAGAGGAGAGAGAGUAUAGUAGUAGUAUAGAGGGGCACGGUUCAAAAAAUGUCACCAAUUCAAAAUUAUGCCAGUAAGCCACCACAACAGUAGAGUAGUAGUAGUAGUAGUAGAGAGGAGUGGCAUAUAAGCAGCCUGCUAUAUAAACAACAGUAAUUAUGCCUCAGUAUAUAAAACUGUCAUAGAGAGAGUAGUAGUACAGUUGUAGUACAAAAGCAGUAGUAGUAGGAGGAUUACAGUAAGCCACAAAUUAAAAUGACAGUAAGCCACCAGAAAUCAACACAGUUGGACAGCAAGUACUAAUCAAGAGGGGGACGGUCAAGAAUGUAGCAUUAAUGUGGAAUUGUUUUUAGCUUUGAUUGUACCUAUUUGACUUAGACAAUCGCUAAAAUAUUGUCAUAAUCAGAAGCCAAGUCCUAUAAUGUUGUGUCUUCUAAAGUUAAUAUAAAAAACAAUGGCAUCGAGCAAAAAUCAUGUGAACGUAACCAAUAAUAGGUAACCAGUGACUGAACUAUGUAACUUGUGGGAGAAAUAAGAAACAGAUUGACUAUCAAAUGAUCAGCUAAUACAAGGCAUAGAAGUCAAAGUAAACAGAUUGACUAUCAAUGAUAAUGGAACAAACUAGAAGUCAAAGAUCAUACAAAUAGAGUUCAGAGUCAAACAUAAAGAUAAUAGAUGAUUGAGGGAACAUUUCCUGAAUCCAUAAUAAUAUUCAUGUCAAAUAUGACUCAGGCAAAAGCAUCAUUAACCAAAAUGUUCAGAAGAAAGCAACAACAAUUAUUUUAUAAACUAAAAGCUAGUAGGAAGAUAACAAUUAAUUUAUAAACUAAAAAUUAAUAGACCUAUUUCAAGUCACAACGGUAUUAGCAGAGUCCACCGAGUACACCUUAAUACAGAGAUAGGCAGAACACUCAGUUGUAGCGGUAGGACAGCAAAAGUCUGGCCAAAAAUUUCAGUGACAUGAAAGCAUAUGCAUUGCCUAGAACAAAAUGCUUGAAUAAAUAUAGUUUGUCAAGAUUCAAAUUCCUUCUGAGUUAUGCAACUAAUUGUCAAGAUUCCAAAGGUUCAAGCUACAAACUGGCAUAAUCAAUAGUCAAGACUCAAGAGACUAUGCUAAAUGCCAGUUGAGAUAAAGGAAAUUGCAAACCAAACUUUAUGACAGGGACAAGUUGACCAUGUAUUAAUGCUUUUAUGCUGUUUUUUUGGCAUAAAAAUAAAUGGCAUAUGUGUAGUUGUGUAAAAUUGGUGGGUUAGAAAACUGGACAUAUGUAGCUACUAGAGCACCAUUUAAAAAAAUGAAUCAGGCCACUGAGAGUCAGCUUAAACCACUUGGACGAAUAACAGAUUCCAACUUCCAAGUUAAACAUUGCAUAUAUUUAAUUUUGUACUAUUUAAGUGAGCAAAGUCACAUGCUGAUAUCUGUUUCUAGACCUUUGGAGGAGAGCAAAGUGAGCAAAGUCACAGACCUUUGGAGGAGAAGGAGAGAGUCGCGGACGGGCGGCGCCUAGGGUUCCUAGCAGGCGGAGUGCCCAGGCUCACCGACGGGCGGGCGGCCGCGCGUGGAGCUUCGGCCCUCGGCGACGUCUAGGGUUCUGACAGGGCGGAGCGCACGGGCUCGCACAUGGACGGAAGCAGGUCGCCGAGCUCGCGGAAGAAGAGCUCGUGGACGCGCCGAAGAAGAGCUUGUGGACGACCGAGGUCCUGGGCCAGACUCGCCGAGCUCGUGGAGGCGCGCGUGGGUGGGCGGCCGUGUGCAGAUCUAGCUCCCGGCGGCAGCAGAGUGGUGGCGUGGCACGGGCACCGGCGAAGGAGGAGGGGGAGGAGAGCGCGGGGAGGAGAGUGGUGGCGUGGCACGACACCGGCGAAGGGGGAGGGGGAGGAGAGCUCAGAGAGGAGAGUGGUGGCGUGGAAUCGGGCGGCGACGGCUAGGGUUCCGAUCGGAUCGGGGGGGAAUCGGGCAGCCUGACGGCGUCCAACUGUGAAUGUGAACGCCCUGACUUAGGCGCUGCGAACGGACCGGGGCUUUUAUGGAGGGCAGCCCCACUGUAAGGGCGGUUCAGAUGUGAACCGCCCUUAUUGUGGUUUUCUUCAAAUUUAAAAUCAUUUUUUUAAUAUACUUAAAGUUCAAAAUGUAUUUAUAUAAUAAUUUUAAUUUAUUCCAUGUAUUUUCAUAUUUAAUUUAUAUAUAUUAUAUAAUUUCAAACUAUUCCAAGUAUUUGUAUAUUUAAUUUAUAUACAUUAUAUAAUUUCAAACUAAAUUGGUUUGGAAUUAAAAAAUAGAUUUGUGUAAAUUUAAAAAUACUUUAGUGCCUCACUAGACCUAAUAUGUAAUAAUUUUGAAUUAUUUCAUACAUUUUUAUGAUUAAUUUAUAUAUUUAUAUAUAUAUAUAUAUAUAUGCAAAGUUUAUUCUUUUUUGUCUACAUUGACCAAGUCAAACAUUGGAUUUUUGACAAAAUACACUUUGACCGGACCCGAGAUGGUCUCAGAUGAAAAAGUUAUUAAUACAAAGUAUGUUCCCCUUAUCAAGAUACACAUUUGUUGUAAUGGUCAACUUUUCAUCUGAGAUGGUUUGGACCACUAAAAUUUUGAAUUUUCAAAUUUUCACUGCUACACGCACGUUUUCGGGACCCUAGACGGCCCCAACUCCGAAAGUCAUGAAUAGCAAUUUUGUUCCACUCAUCAAGAUCUACAUUUGAUAUAUAGGACAUUUUUGCAUUUGACAAAGCAUUAAGAAAGUGUAGUUCUAAAUCCACAAGUCCCGCAUGUAGUUUCAUAAAGUCUAUGUGUGAUUCAAGACUUUGUGACUAGAAUUUACAAACACUUUCUCAAAUGCAAAAAUGUCCUAUGUAUGGAAUGUGUAUCUUGAUGAGCUCUAUCUACCUUGUAUUCAAAAGUUUUUCAUUUGAGGUCAUUUACUCACUCGUUUGACCAGGUUUGACCAAGCCACGCCUUGGGUUUUCAAAACAUGUGAACUGAGUUUUCUGUAACUUUUCCAAAUGCAAAAAUGUAUUGUGUAUCAAAGGUAGACCUUGAUGAGAUCUAACUAUGUUGUAUUCAAUUUUUUUUCAUUUGAGGUCUUUUAUUGCCUAGUUUAGGGUUUUUUUUUUCAUUUUUUUCAUUUCGGGACCCUAGACGGCCCCAACUCCGAAAGUCAUGAAUAGCAAUUUUGUUCCACUCAUCAAGAUCUACAUUUGAUAUAUAGGACUCUUGACAGCACUCGAUGACUUCUUCACUACUGUAGCCCUCUAUCAUAGAGCCCUUUGGGUAUGCACAAUUAUGCACAUAUCGACUUAGAACCGACAUGAACCGCUCAUACGACCACGUUUCAUGCAAGUAGCAAGGGCCCAAUGCCUGUAUCUGAUGAACCAUGUGAAUCAUGAGAUGUACCAUAGGGUCGAAGAAAGAGGGAGGUAAACACAUCUCUAGUUGGUUUUGGGUCUCUACGACAAAAUCAUGUAGGUCACUCAGCUCUGUCUUGCUAAUCUUCUUCUGUGAGAUCUUUGACCAGAAGUAGCACAUGCGGGUGAUAGCCAUCUUCAAAAACUCUGGCUUGAUAGCCCUUAUUGCGAUUGGUAGGAACACCGUCAACAUAAUAUGACAAUCGUGAGCCUUGCAGUGUGGAAAUGAUAGGUCCUUCAUCGACACUAGCUUCUUCGGGUUUGCCGAAAACCCAGUCAGGACUUUGAUCCCCUUCACAGAAGUGCAUAAACCUCUCAUCUCUUCUAGGUCCACGUUGUAGCUAGCCGCGGGUAGGGUGUAUUUUCCAGUUUUUGUCUCAAGUACCGGGUGAAGCUCUGGCAUCACAUGUAGCUGCUCCAUGUCUCUCCUUGCUUUGAGACUAUCCUUUGACUUCGGUGUGUCCAUCAAGGUAGCGAUGAGAAUCUCAAAGACAUUCUUCUGCACAUGCAUAGCAUCAAUGGCAUGGGGGGCCUCCAAUUGUGGCCAAUAUUCAAGAUACUGAAAGAAGAUUGACUUUUUCUUAAAAGGCACGCCUUCAAUAGGAGGUGUGCUUCUAUCUCUAGGUGUUCCAUCCAUUUUCUUCUUUCCAUAGAUGACGCUUAUAUUUUUCACCAUUUGGAACACAUAUUGUCCAUCAUGACGUCUCUCCGGAGGUCGAUCUUCAUCCUCUGGGAUGUUGCCAAAAUACUUUAAGUACACUUUGCUGCGGUACUUGUGACCUUGCUUUAAAAAGCGACGAUUCCUGAUGUAAACAGUCUUCUUAGAUCCAUCUAGGUACACCCAUUUAGUAUCAUCCAGACAGACUAAGCAUCCUGUCUUGCCUUUG
RNAcentral lists this long non-coding RNA (5553 nucleotides) under Sorghum bicolor (sorghum). RNAcentral's name for it is "long non-coding RNA (SBIC_LNC001152)". The record is from RNAcentral. Lineage: Eukaryota; Viridiplantae; Streptophyta; Magnoliopsida; Poales; Poaceae.